Non-coding RNA from Callithrix jacchus (white-tufted-ear marmoset), 11721 nucleotides. NCBI's taxonomy places the organism in Eukaryota, Metazoa, Chordata, Mammalia, Primates, Cebidae. The record is from RefSeq and is a predicted model, not a curated record.
UAUUCAUGCCUUCUUAUAAAUGUCUGAGAAUCAAGGGAUAUAAUAUAGAAAUGACAAAGGCCUCAGAGUUGCCUGUUCCCACUACUUGAGGCCAUCUCCACCCAGACGACACUCCACCUCCAAGUCAGAGGCAGUCCAGAAUCGUGUCUCUUCUGCACCCUAUCUUUCAGGAAUUCUCAGUCCAACAUCCAGGCCACUGGGGCUCUGAACAACCUGGGGAUUUUUCCUCUUAUGAGAAAUGCCUUUCACCAGAAUGAUGCCAUCUACAGCCUGACCCCUGCUGCCCACUGGACACACCACACCUGCCAGCUCGCCCAUCAGCACACAGGUUCUAUCUCCUCCAUUUAUCACCCACCCCUUUCCAGAGAUUUUACACAAUGUGAAGACAAUGGCUGACUUAAGUUUCUGUAGGCAGCAUUGACCCCACAGCUCCACACAGCAGACGGACAGAAUCUGACCUGAGGUCAAGUUUUGGGGAGAGGACAAGAAUCUGGAUCAGAGCCUAGAUCAUCAGAAACAGUCCAAAUUCCUGACUUGUACUGGUAGAUCCGGAACUACAAGGUCUCUGUGGUUGUCCUGCCCUGCGCUUCGCUCCCGCUGCACAGACUAGAAGAACUAAAUGAAAGUGUUCAUUUGCCUACCCUUAUUGACAGUUCCAACAGGACCAGGAGCUACAACAGAUUCAGAAAUGGGUGGAGACAUUCCCAAGUGCCUGUCUGCAUUCGCUAUGGGGAGAUAAAGUUCGUGUCCAGCUUUAUGACCCUGACUACAUGAAGGUGAUUCUGGGGAGAUCAGACCCCAAAGUUACAGAAAUCUCCAGACUCCUGGCUCCCUGGAUUGGUACUUACAUGUAAACUAGGACUGUCAUCUACUGCCCAGGUAGAUUUGCUAAGAGCAAUCUCUUUGGCUCACAGCGAACAACAGGGAUAUCCAAUCCUAUAUCCAGGCCAUUGAGGACCUCAAAAACCUGUUUAUUUCCCACAUGAGCAAUGUCUUUCAUCAGAAUGACGCAAUCUACAACCUGACUCCUACCGGCUGCUUAAACCACCGCACCUGCCAGCUUGUCCAUCAGCACGCAGGUUCUGUCUCCUCUUCUUGUCUCCUCCCCACUAAGCACAGCUAAAGGAGGCUGCUCUGUGUCAUCACAGAGCCAGGCCCCCUGUUGCCCCUGCAGAAACUGAGACACACCCAUGAUGGAGAUUUCUGUGGAGCAGGGGCUAAGAGCUGAGAUGUUAGGGGCAGGCAUGGUGCAGGCAUUUAUCUGUGUCCCCACAUGGGGAUGGUUACAUGAGACCCCAUCCAAGCAGCAUUCAAACAGUGGCUCUGUGAGUCAUGCCACUGCGGAGAGGUCUGCCCUGCCUCACACUGUAGUAGAGCUCUUACUCCUGACCAUGUACCCACACCCACACUCAUGCUGAGAUCUACCAGGCACCCACACAGGGGCAGGUGAACAGCUGGGACUCUGGGGGCCGCUGGCACACUCAGCCUGUAGAGUAACCACUGUUCUGGAACAGAUCGAGUGAUCCAGCUGAGGAAGUUUCGGCUGCAGGAGGAGCGGGAGCUGGAGAAGGUCAGGAGAAAGAGGCAUUUGGAUAUCCUGGACAUCCUCCUUUUGGCCAAAGUGACUGUGUGUAGGAGAGGCCAGAGGCUUUUCCCAAAAGCACAGAGCAAGAGACCAAUCCUGAACUCUCACUUCAGCCUCCCCAGAUGGAGAAUGGCAGCAGCUUGUCAGACAAGGACCUCCGUGCUGAGGUGGACACAUUUAUGUUUGGAGGACAUGACACCACAGCCAGCAGCAUCUCCUGGAUCCUCUACGCUCUGGCCAUACACCCCAAGGAUCAGCAGAUGUGCCGCGAGGAGAUCCAGAGCCUCCUGGGAGAUGAAGCCUUCAUCACCUGGAUUGAAAGUCAGCCUUUCCAUUUAUGGCCUUCACCACAACCUGAACAUGUGGCCAAACCCAGAGGUGUUUGACCCUUCCCACUUUGCCCUGGGUUCUGCUCAACACAGCCACGCUUUCCUGCCCUUCUCUGGAGGAUCAAGGUGAGGCAAACUGGUAAUGGAGGUGGAGAAACAGGGCCGCCUUGGGCACACAGCUGAUGCUUAUGCUCCCUAAUUCACAUGUGGCAUCUUCACCUAUACCCUUGGAUGCUGGUGCUUGCAAGAAGGAAGUCUGAUGCCAAUGUCUCUGUGAACAAAACAACUGCAUUUCAGGGCCCAGCACGGGGACUUCGCCUCCCUCUGCCUUUUCCAAUGUCCAGACAAAAUUCACUGAUCGUGCGUGUUCUGAACUUCCAAGUAUUCUGGUGUUUGCCUCAUUUUGGGAGUAUGAAUUUUCAAUAUUAGACUUUUUUGGUAAAAUUAAUUUUAUAUAUUAGCAUUCCUCAAUUUUCAGAGAUAUUAAAGCUGACUUCUCUCUCCCUACAUAUUGCUGAUGCAGCACAUCACCAUUUCUACCUAACUCACUAAUGUGAAAACACUGAAAUCUUUGCGUAUGUUUAGAAUUAAGGUGCCUUGCUAGUCCUCCCUUACAAGCCAAACAAGUGGAAGGUUAAGACAGCCCUUUGCAGAAAGUUUAAUACCCAUAUGUGUUGUCUCAAAUAUUUUGCUGUUUUGUCCAACAAAUGCUCACUGUGUUACAAUGUUCACAUAUUUAUGUCCCCUUUCCCAUUUGGCAAAAUUGUUUUUGUGCAAUGGAUUCUCUAUAGCAUGAUCCCACAGCUCCCAUAGCAAAAUGUGGACAAACACAUAAAAAUGAGGACAAUAACCUGACUUUGAGGGAAGCCCUCUUUUGAGUAUAUGACAAAUAACAUUUGAAGACUUCCUGUGUGUGGAUUACGAAAUACACUUGAAAUAGCUGUUCAGUUGAACAUAUGCACUCCAAAAUAACUGAUGUGGAAAUCCUCAGGGGCUGAGGAAACAUCUGAUGAAAAGCUAAUGCCAAAAGCUAUGUAAAUUGUUAGUGAAAACACAGUUUUUCUAAAUGAGUAAUUACGUAAAUUCUCCUGAUGGUGAGUCCACUUUCACACAAUGGUCAUUAAGCAAAUGUUCCAGAAAGUCCUUCUCCAGCACUGCUUCAUCCCAGGAUGAGAACUUCCUCCUAAACACUGGCUGUCAAUCAUGUUGCUGCCACUAGAGGACAGGAGAGCGUUCCUAAGCUCCAUGUCUAGUCCAGAACUAAUAUUAACUCUCAGUGUAUUCCAUUCUAUUUUAUUCAUUUUUUAAACGUAAUUAACUUCUUUCAAAUAUAUAAGUAUUUAAUAAGCCUAUCUCUGUGGGUUAGGCCCUGUGCAGCAUGAUGGGAAAACAGGAAAAAGGUACUGUCCCUGUGUCUAGGAGUUCAUAGUCAAGGACAAAAAUGUAUUAUACAGAAACGUAUUCUGUGCUCCAGACACACAUCGCUCCCUCAUCCAUCCUUUCACUUAGUCACUGAGUGGCUCUUUGAGUGUUUCUGUUUCUGGCACUGUCCUAGGCACUGGAAUGACUCUUUAUGGAUGGAGCAAAGAUGCCAACUGGGGUCUUGAGCUGGAAGAGGCACAGCUGGAAGGGGGUGAGAGGCAGGUGGGCCCUGGACUUAGCCUUGAGGAUGUGGCAGGCAGAGGUGGAGAGAGGAUAUUCUCAGCCAUCUCCACAUGAACAGGGCUAGACAGGUAAGAGUUGGGUGAGGCAACAAUCCAGGGAGGGCUUGGCUGCUACCUGGGAUGCUGUCCCCACUGUGGAGUGUGGGAGAGUCUGAGCUGGUCUAUUGCUUCAGUGUGGAAGGAGAGCAAGCAGGGACCCAGAAAGUCCAGGUAAGAAGACUGAGGGAUGGUAAGGAGGGACAUUUCUGGAAUAGAAUUAGAAGGCUACACAUGCUGGUGGACAGAUGGGGAAGGGGAGGCAAGCCUAGACCAUGGAGUUGGAGGAAAGUGGGGCAACAACUGAGCACCACCUACCCAGUGCCCUCCCAGGAAGCCUCCCUAUUACCCUUCAGACUCCUCUUUCCCACUCAUCUGGGCCUCUCUCUAAGAAUCCAGGUCUCUGUGUACCCCUGCAUGGAGAGCGCCAGAGAAUGUGCCUCUCCAACCCCACAGUGACCUGAUCUAGGCUCUACACUGGGGAACCACACACUGUCUGUGGAAGAGUGAACAAACCAUUGACUAACUCUACAAUUCAUGUGAUUAAACUCUGAGCCUUAGAGCCGUGGUCCUCCUGACAGAGGGUCACAGGUCUGCUCAGAGCAGAGGUAGGAGUUAGGAGCUAGCCUCGGAAGACUGGCAGGCUCUGUCUAAACUCAAGAAAAAGAGUGAAUCAAGGCCUGGGCAGAGGUGCAUGUGGCCUUUAAGGAAAGGAUUUGGGGGCUGGGCACGUAGAGGAAGACUCUAAAUCCCCAGCUCAAGGGUAGAGCUCAGAGACCAAAGCCUGCCUAGCUCACAAUGAGGCCUGAGGCCAUUUUUCAAUUUAUGGCCUCUGCAUGGCCCAGGAACUGCACUGGGAAACAAUUUGCCAUGAACCAGCUAAAGGUGGCCACGGCCCUGACCCUGCUCUGCUUUGAGCUGCUGCCUGAUCCCACCAGGAUCCCCGUCCCCAUGCCACGAAUUGUGCUGGAGUCCAGCAAUGGGAUCCACCUGCAUCUCAGAAGGCUCCCCAACCCCUGUGGGGACAAGGACCAGCUCUGAGGUCCUCCAUUUGCCAUCCUGUCUUCCUGACCUCUGCUCCUGUCUUCUGCCUGUCUGCCCACUUUCUGCUUUCAAUCUGCCCACGUGCCCUUCUUCUCACCUGUUUGCUAUCCUAUUUCUGUCUUCCAGUCUGUUUUCCAUUUCUCAGUCACCUUUCUCCAGGCUCCCUCCCUGCUUGUCUGUCUGUCUCCUACCCACCUGCAUCACUGGCUCUGCAUUUGACACCCAGUCUCCUGCCUGCCCUCGAGCCUGUCUCCCGCUACACCUGACUAACUCCUGCCUACUUGUCUGUAUAUUGUAGGCAUUUUCUAUUGCUGCUGAAAUAAACUACUGUAAUCUUGGUAAUUUUAAAUAACAGAAAUGUUUUCCCUUACAAUUCUGUAAGUCAAAGUCAGAUAUGGGUUUCAGUGGGUGAAAACAAGUUGUAGACAGGGCCAACCCCUUUCAGGGGUGCUAGGGAAGAGUCUUACCACUUGCCCUUUCAGCUCCAGAGCUGCCUUUUUUUUUUUUUUGCAUUCCUUGGUACUGGCCCCCUCCCUCUUUGGAACCAACAGCAUUUUCAAAUCUCUCUCUUACUGUCCUCACAUCUCUUUCCUUCUAAUAAAGACCUUUGUGGUUCCAUCUAGUUGAUUCAGAUAAUCCAGGAUAAAUUCACCAUCUCAAAACCCAUUACUUUCCACUUCAAAGUCCAUCUUGAUAUAUUCAGUCUCAUAAUUAUGGAUGCCAUGUAUUAGGAUGUGGACAUCAUCUAGGGUCUUGAUUCAGCUUAGCACAGUUCCUAUCUGAUUGUCAUUCUAUAUGUUUAUCUAUAUUUGUCCUGCAUGGCAGCUGGCAAUCUGAUUGCUAUUCACAGAACCCCUCUGUCUUCACUCCCCUAUAGAAAAAAGUACACAAAGUGUAUGCAGUGUCUGCAUUUACUUAAAAGGAAAUUGACAGAGGAGAGAAGACACCAAGGGGGAGGAAAUAUAGUGGAAACAAGUCUCUUCAGAGUAGGAAAAAGAGUGUUGAUAUUUGUUCUAUGGUGCAAGGAUCCCAGAUGGGAUUGACCUGGCUUACCCUGCUUCAUACAAUUGCAUGCCUGUGACCCAUGAUGGCCACAACCUGCCCAGCUCCUGAGGUUUUCUUGACAGUUUAGAUAAAGGGGUUUUCUCAAGGAGCUCAGAGGGAGCAGCUCACAUUUAUAGGGUAAAGAUUCCAGGCCUCUAUUCCAUUCAAGAUUUAGUUUUCCUUAUGCGAGAUGAAUCAGAGCAAGGCUGAGCUAAGGAUUUGUCUUACUGUGUUUGGUUUUGCUAUAAGAGAAUACCUAAGGCUGGGUAAUUGACAAAGAAAAGAGGUUUAUUUGGCUCAUGAUUUGGAUGGCUGGAAGGUCCAAGAUUUGGCAGCUGAAUCUGGUGUAGUCCUCAUGCUGCUUUCACCGAUGAUAGAAAGAGAAUGAGAAGCAGCCAUGUGACAGAUCACAUGAUGAGAGAGGAAACAAGAGAGAGACACCAAGAAAGCCAUACUCUUUUCAGGAGCCACUGUCCUGGAAAUAUGACUGUACCACCUAGAGCAGGAACUCACUCACACCUGCAAAGUAUGAAGGGGACAAUAAAUUAUUUAUGAAGGAUCUAACCCAUGAUUCAAACACCUCCUCACUAUGAUGCAUCUCCAAAUGUGUCACACUGGGGAUGAAAUUUCCAAAAGGGGUUUGAUCAAGGACAUAAUCCCAGCCAUAGUGGGGCUGCAGUGGGCUUAGCAAGAAAGCCUCAGAGGCCUAGUCUUGCAUGAGGGCCUCUGGUACACGGCUCUUCACAGCUUGAAUGAGACUGAGAAAGCAGCCAUCCCAGCAACAUCACCAGACAUCUAUCAACUUCCUUAAUAUAUGAGACCUGCAUACUCCUGAGAAGGCUCAGAGUACACAGCUGUUCAGCAAGCACUAGGAGGAGCCCAGGUAGGCAAAGAGGCUGUCAGACUCCAAGCAGCUCCUCCUCACAGCACAGGUUUUCAGUGGUCCUCUGCUUCUCGGGCUGGCUACCUUGGGGGAGCAGGAACAUCCUCAAUGCUGUUCAUACUUGGUGACUGCCUGGAUACUGGUGCUCCUUAGCCCUAUUUCACCACUUCGCCCUCAUGCACUCCCACCAGCUCCACUUGGUCAAGGAAAAGAGUGAAUCGAGACCUGGGUAGCAGGUGUUCCUGACUGCACCAAGCUUUCUCCAUCCAGACCUUGCUUCUCUUCCUUGAUCUGAGCAUAGGUGUCCUUUCAAACCCUCUCCAUUCCUAGCCCAGGGUCCUGGAUGCCAUAGACAGAUUUAUCGCUGCCUGAGAUGUGACAUCUCAUUCUAGUACCCUAAUGGGCUUCUCUCCUAGUUGGUACCUGUAGCCAGGACCUCUCUCUAAGUCUCCUGGGCUCCUGAGUCACUGGGAUAGUUCAGCCAUGCUCUGAGAAGAGGCAGGAAAGGGAAAAUCUGAACAGUAGGUGAUCAGCUAGGGUUGGAGGAAGAGGGAAAAUUGGGCCAGGAGAGUGAGUUGGAAACCUCCUGUACAUAAUGGUUAGUAGGUCACCCAGAAUCAGGUGGUGUACAAGGCUCAUGCUGGCCAUGCUCACAGAGCCCAGGACACUGGGCACUCACUCCCAUUACUACCCCUAGUACCUGGGUGAAAAGAGAGGUGAAGUAUAAAAGUGAAAGUCUCAUUUGGAUGGGAGAGAUAGAGACCUGAGCAUGACCAAAGAAAUAGAAAGGUGGACAAGGAGGGGAGCACUGAACAUUCACACAUAAAAUAAUAAAGGUAGACCCUUACCUACACCAUAUAUAAAGUUUUGUAAAAAAAGGAUAGAAAAGCUAAAAGACAGCCUACAGAAUGGCAGAAUGUAUUUGCAACGCAAAUGAGAAUAUAUGAAGAACACCACUCAACAUCAAAAUACAAAACUCCAUUCAAUAAUCAGCAAAUGACUACAACAGACUCUUCUGCGAAGAAGACAUGCAAAUGGUCAAUAAGCUCCUGAAAAGAUGCUCAACUUCAUUCAUCAUUAUGGACGUGUGAAGGAAGCCCACGAUGAGACACCACUUCAUACCCUUUAGGAAGUCUAUGAUUACUUUUAGUGGAAAAUAACAAAUAUUUAACAAAAUGUGAAAAAUUGGAACUCUUACAAAUUGCUGGUGAAUGUAAAUUGGCAUACCAAUUUGGAAAACAGAUUUGUGAUAUCUGGAAAAGAUAAGAGCACAAGUACCAUAGUAUCCAGAAAUUCCCACCUGGCUAUAUAACCAAACUAAUUGAAAACAGGGAUUCGAGCACAUACUUGUAAGCCAAUGUUCAUGACACCAUUAUUUACAACAGAUGUAAGAUAGAAAGAACUCAGGUGUCCAUCAACAGACAAACGGGUACACAGAAUGUCCUACAUACAUACAAUGCAAUAUUAUUUAGUCACAAACAGGAGUGAAGUUCUGAUUCCUACUACAGCAGGAAUGACCCUGAGAACACUAUGUAAGUGAAAAUAGCCAGACUUAGAAAGACAAAUAUUACAAUAAGUUCAGUUAUAGGUAGAAGAAUAGGCAAAUUCAUGGAUACAGAAAGUCAAUUAGAAAUUACCAGGGACUGGGGGAAGUCAGAUUGGGGAAAUAUUGCUUAAUAGUUACAGAGUUUCUGCUGGAGUGAAGAAAAUGUUUUGGAAAUAGGUAGUAAUGAGAUUUCUAAAUCAUCAUGAAUUUCAUUCAAUGUACAAUUUAAAUUAGUUAAAGUGUCUACUUUUAUGUUCUGUAUUUGUAACUAACUUCUUAAAAUUAAUAUACAUCAAACCAUUGAAUAGCUAAUGAAUCAGAUUUCAUGGCAUAUACAUCUUAUUGUAUCUCAAUUUACUUUUUUUUUUAAGGCAGGGCAGGGAGGAGUUAAACACUAGCUCUUCAGUGGGAUUGUCCAGGAGGACACAUUAGGAUUCAUCAAGAAUACCAACCCACAGAGAAAAGAGAAGAGUGAGACAGGACAGCUGCCUACUGGGAAUUGGUGUGGAACCCAGGGAGGCUCCCUACUGGGGAAACAGUGAGUGAACAAGAGCCCCUGGGACUCACUCACACUUCUGACUUAGACUUUGCAAACCUGGGCACAGGAAAUGCCACACCCCCCAGCCCCCACCACACCCCACCGCCAACCUUCUCUACCCUGGGCCUCCAGACUGACACCAAGAGUUGCUUGGCAGAACCACUGCUCAGGCCUGUGUGGAGCACAAGGGCCUUGAACUCCUGAGCACUACUCCACCAGCUACUGUAGCUCUGCCAACAAGGCAGGCCGGGCUCUCUUGCACACCCCCAGGAUAGAGGCUGUACCCACAGUGCUGAGGGGUGGACGGACUGCAGGCAUAGCAUCUGCUAUACCUUGCCAAACAAACCCCACUGACCUGGGACCCAAGUGAAGCUACCCCACCCCCCACCUCAGCAGUUGGACCAGUAGCAACUCUGCAUUAUCUGGGUUGGAACUCCCAGAGGUAAUGGUCAUGCCCACCAUUUAUGCCACUGCUGCAGCCCCUGCCUCUACUGCUCUCAGGCUGGGAGGAAGCAAGAAGCCUAAGGACUGUCACGGGCCUUGAGAACACUACAACUGCCUUACAGAAAUGUGCCCAGACUGUUUUCCAUGCAGCUCCCUGCCCCUGCUACUCCUCACUGGGCAGGUUUUCCUGACCUGGGUCCCCAGCACAGCCACCCUUCCCCCAAUGUGAGCACUUUGGUCAGUGGCGGCUCUACAUUUCUCUGGGAGGAAAUCUGGGACAAUCCACAGGCUUUCUGCCAUUUGCAGCUGCAGUAGAACUGUCCUUGUUGCCCUCUGUCUGAAGAAGAAAAAAAGACCCUGAUCACUUUGCUGGCACCUCUAACGUGGCACAACCACUAUAUGAAGAGGAGCCCAGUCUCUCUUCCCUGUGAGCCCCCAACUCCCUGCUCUUCACUAGACAGGGCCUUGGCUAGGAUCCACAAUGCAGCCACCCCACCCCCAGCUGAAUGCCUCCAUAGGCACCGGCUCUGUGUCUCUCUGGGGUGGAGUUGCCAGAGGCAACAGACUUGCCCUCUGCCACUGCCACUGCAGUGGUACCAACUCAUGCUGCCACCAGGCUGGGGAAGGAACAAAGAGCCUGAGUGCUUUACUUGUCCUUCCAGCACACCAUAGCCUCUCUAUAGAGAAAAGGCCAGACUGCCUUUCCCACUAGCUCCCCACCCCACCAGGUGUCCUCAGGCAGGCCCCAAGGCUUAGACCGGCAACACAGCUACCCAACAUUGGGGUGAUCAUUCCAAAUGUCAGCAGCUAUGCAAUUCUCUGGGAUGGAGCCCCAGAGACAAGUGAAAGGUCCUUUGCCAUUGCCACUGCCAAGGUCCCCGUCCCUGCUGCCCCCAAGCUGGGGAAGGAACAAAAUCCUGAGCUCACCCCAGGGCUGUAGUGUGCAGCCCAGGAAUGCCAAGCCGAAAACUAUAGCCAGCACUUUAGUGGGAGGCAAGCCCACACCCUCAGAAGACUGAGAAGGAGCACAGCUGCACAUGUGAGGAAAUAUAUAGGAGCCACAUGGCUGAGCAAGAGCCUUCCUACAGGCCGUUAUGCUUAAGUGCAUUACCGGAAUGCAUCCCAAACUUCAACAGCAAAAAUACUUUCCUAAUAUACCCCCUUGUGAAACCAAGGACAACAAUUCUGCCACAAGUAAAGAGCCUGCACAAAGACUUGGCCCUCUGAAAAGAGCCAGAAACAAAGUCAAUUGACUACACUACUUCACAGUUAAAAGAACAUCACUUCACACAGAUGAGAAAGAACCAGCAUAAGAACUCUGGCAACUCUGGAAGCCAGAGUGUCUCCUUACAUCCAAAUGACCACACUAACUCCUCAGCAAUGGUUCUUAGCUAGAAAGAAAUGGCCGAAAUGACAGGCAUAGAAUUCAAAAUCUGAAUGGUAUCAAAGAUCAAGACUCAGGAGGAAGCUGAAACUCAUUCUAAGUAAUCAAGGAAUUCAUUAAAGCGAUUCAAGAGAUGAAAGGUAAAAUAGGCAUUUUAAGAAAGAACCAAACUGAGCCAAUAGAGCUGAAAAAACAUACUACAAUAAUUUCAUCACACAAUUGGAAUUAUUAACAGCAGAAUAGACAAAGUUCUUAGAAUUAACUCAGUCAAACAAAAAUAAAGAAAAAAGAUUUUUUAAGUAAACAAAAUUAGAGACAUAGGAUUAUAUAAGGAGACCAAACCCAUGACUCACUGGUGAGUAUGAAAGACAGGGAGAGAGAGGAACUUGGAAAACAUAUUUGAGAAUAUUGUCCAUAAAAAUUUCUCCAACAUACUAGAGAGGUUGCCAUGCAAAUUCAAGAAAUUUAGAGAAUCCCUGCAGGAUACUGUAAAAGGUGACCAUCCCCAAGCACAUAAGUCAUCAGAUUAUCCACAGUCAACACAUACAAAAAACAUUAAAUGCAGCUAGAAAGAAGGGCAAAUCAUCCUCAAAGGGAACCUAAUCAGGCUAACAGUGGACCUUUCAGCAGAAAACCCAUAAGCCAGAGGAGAUUGGGAUGUAUUUUCAGAACGCUUAAAGAAAAAAUUCCAACCAAGAAUUUCAUAUUCAACCAAAGUAAACUUCAUAAGCAAAAGAGAAAUAAAGUCUUUCUCAGGAAAGUAAGUGCUUAAGGAAUUCAUUACCACCAGACCUGCCUUACAGAAGGUCCUAAGGGCAUGCUAAACAUGGAAAUGAAAGACCGUUACCAGCCAAUACAGAAACACACUUAAGUACAUAGACCACAACAUUAUGAAGCAGAUACACAGCAAGUGUACAUAACAACCAGCUAACAACAUGAUGACAGGAUCACAUCUGCACAUAUCAAUAUUGACCUUGAAUGUAAACAGGCUAAAUACACAACUUAAAAAUGAGGGCACAAGAGGAUAAUUGCAGUAAAAAUAACUGAAUUGUACAUUUAAAAAUACCUAAAAUAUAAUUGAUUUUUAUGAUACAAAGGAUAAAUGCUUGAGAGGAUAAAUACCUCAUUCUCCAUGAUAUAAUUAUUAUGCACUGCAUGCUUGUAUCAAAACAUCUCAUGUAUAUCCUAUAUAUAUAUAUCCUAUAUAUCCACAAAAAUUAAAAA